RNAcentral lists this long non-coding RNA (1823 nucleotides) under Triticum aestivum (bread wheat). RNAcentral describes it as "long non-coding RNA (TAES_LNC021704)". Lineage: Eukaryota; Viridiplantae; Streptophyta; Magnoliopsida; Poales; Poaceae. The record is from RNAcentral.
GCCCGUGAAGCCAAGACUGAGAGUGUGCAGCGCCGUCCUGGGCACAUCCCGGCGAGCGCCGCCCCAGCAAGCUGCAUCACCGCCAAGCAUCCCCCGUGCCUCGAGUGACGACGUUUCACCUGAUGUUUCUCCCCACGGCAGCGCAGAAGGGAACCAACGCGUCGUCUGCCAGUACGGGCGAGCGAGAGGAUGAUGCUGAGUUGCUGACGGAUCUGCUCCUCUUUUUUCCGGGGUUGCUCUCAGUUUGGUCCUAGGCGGUGGCCUGCAGUGCCAGGCCGCCAGCUUCCAACUUGGCGGCGGCGGCGGACGAGCCCACGGCAUGCUGUCCUCCGGAGGCGAGCCAACAGCGAGCUGCGACUCCUCCUCUGUCACUCACGCGGCAAGCAGCGAGCUAGCAACUCUAAGGCGGUAGCUCUCCAGUUGGUCGUCACUUUGUUGGCAGCAGCAACACCACUAAGGUAUGCUCCUCUUUUUGUUCUUUUUGACAUCCACUAUUCAAAUCUAUACACACCAUCAUUAUUGCCAGCUUAGAUGAUAGUUUGUAUUUUCUAGACUUCUAUUUUUAUUGAUCUAAGGGGAAAAAAACAUGUGGGAGGUUUUUUUUGCUCUUUGUUGUGAUAUGUCGUUGCAGAAAGGUUUUGUUUUGUGGGUGCAUAUAGUACAGAAAAUUGUAUACCUAACUGAUUAUUAGUCUAAACGGAAGGUUUACCACGUAUGUGUGCAAGUCUGUGGGGAGGACAUGGAUUUUGAGAUCCAGCUCCUGCCCGCACGUGCAAGAAAUUCAUGACCUACAUCUCUAAUAUAGCAUGGUAAAUCGUUUUUAUUCUUGAUCUAUCCAUUACGUUGUGUUCCAUUUCCUGGUAGGAAUUCUGGUUUAAUUUCACAUGCUGUUCAAACACAUAAGCACUUGAUGUGCAUUACUGACGUACUGAGGAAAUGCUACAGCUUGAUGUCUAUGUACAUUUAGAACUUUAGUUCCGACGACAUGUGUCUUGUGGAGUAUAUUGGCUUCCAGUACAACUUUACGUGCAAUGCAAUUUGGCAAAAACAGAUGAGAAAUUCCUUCUUAUUCCAGAACCACUUAAAUUCACCCAUUUGAUCUUUGUAGGAGAUAUUGGCACAAUGACUAUGUUUUUAGCAGUAUUGUUUGUAUUUUCCUUUGCAGGAAAUGCUUUAGGAAUUGGACUGUAGCAGUUUGGUCUCUUGAGCUCAUAAGAUCUGUUCUUACCAACAGAGCUACUUACAAACGUACCGGUCAUUAAUUACCAACUAAUGGUUGCAUAAUCUGACUGCUUUCUCUCCUAUGGAUCAUGCUACAGUUGAGUAUCCACUGAUUCCUAAAUGCUUGACCUGGCUAUACAUCUCCUUUUGUAAAUCAUUCUAGCCCCUGAUUACGAACUAGGCAAAUUUUAACAUUCUCCCUUUUACCCCAGCUUUUUACAUGUCAGGUAAGAAUGUCAGGUAAGAAGGUAAGAGUUAAUUAGACCACCUAUUAAUGAGAUCAACGGCUCAGAUCUAUUAUAUGCUCUUACCUCUCAUGUGAAAAAAAGAGAUAAGAGGGAGCAUGUUACAACUGCUCAACUACCAACUAACAGCUGCAUAACAUAACUUUGCUUUCUCCCUUGUUAAUCAUGCUUCCAAUUCAGUGCCUACUGAUUCACAUUGUCUAAUAUGCAUGUACCUUUUUUUGUUUAUAAUAAUCAUGCUCUGGUUAAAUAGUAACAGAGCAUAGACCAACAUUUCCUAUAAGAUUCUCCAAACAAAAUAUAUAUUAGAGAGCUACUCAGCGUCUACAUUUUCAAUACCAAUUACUGCCAGUAAAU